This 452-nucleotide long non-coding RNA is filed under the name Fukomys damarensis (Damara mole-rat). RNAcentral's name for it is "lncRNA (ENSFDAG00000024636.1)". Lineage: Eukaryota; Metazoa; Chordata; Mammalia; Rodentia; Bathyergidae. The record is from RNAcentral.
GUUUUUCUAUAAAAUGGAAUAUUACUCAGCCAUAAAGAGCGAGAGAAUAGAUUCAUUCAUAGGAAAAUGGAUACAUAUUGAAGAUAUACUCCAAUACAUUAUUUUAAGGUGUGCAUGGGCUGGUAAGAUGCAAACUGAGCCUCAACUUCUCCAGCCACCAAGACCCAUGUGACUGAGGACAUCAGUAAUUUCCUCCACCAGAUGAACCUCCCUCAAUGUGAUGUUUUUUAAAACUUUCUAUUAUAUAAAUUGGAAAAUUUUGAAAACUCAAAAGUCACAAUUGUUUGACUUUCACUUCUUUCAAGCCUUUUGGGGACUCUUUUGCAAGAAUUGCCCUUUCCACUUAAUUAUUACACCACAUAUAUAGUUCCCCAAAUUACAUUUAGUGCUUUCCAAAUUGAUACCAUUGAGUGACUUUGUAUCACUGAUGUCUAAACCACCUGUCAUGGCGA